This 388-nucleotide ribosomal RNA is filed under the name uncultured bacterium. RNAcentral's name for it is "bacterial SSU rRNA". It matches the Rfam family "Bacterial small subunit ribosomal RNA", at positions 28 to 417 of the family's 1533-position model. The record is from RNAcentral.
GACGAACGCUGGCGGCGUGCUUAACACAUGCAAGUCGAGCGGUAAGGCCCUUUCGGGGGUACACGAGCGGCGAACGGGUGAGUAACACGUGGGUGACCUGCCCUCAGCUCUGGGAUAAGCCUGGGAAACCGGGUCUAAUACUGGAUAUGACUCCAUGACGCAUGUUGUGGGGUGGAAAGCCUUGUGCGGCUGAGGAUGGGCCCGCGGCCUAUCAGCUUGUUGGUGGGGUGANGGCCUACCGAGGCGACGACGGGUAGCCGGCCUGAGAGGGCGACCGGCCACACUGGGACUGAGACACGGCCCAGACUCCUACGGGAGGCAGCAGUGGGGAAUCUUGCGCAAUGGGCGAAAGCCUGACGCAGCGACGCCGCGUGAGGGAUGACGGCCU